Molecule: ribosomal RNA, 453 nt
Filed under: uncultured Porphyromonadaceae bacterium
Lineage: Bacteria; Pseudomonadati; Bacteroidota; Bacteroidia; Bacteroidales; Porphyromonadaceae
Description: partial 16S ribosomal RNA
Rfam family: Bacterial small subunit ribosomal RNA
Source: RNAcentral
ACGGAAGGCAGCAGUGAGGAAUAUUGGUCAAUGGGCGGAAGCCUGAACCAGCCAAGUCGCGUGAAGGAUGAAGGUAUUAUGUAUUGUAAACUUCUUUAGGCGCAGAGAAAUAAGGGGCUCGUGAGCUCUGAUGCUAGUAUGCGCAGAAUAAGGAUCGGCUAACUCCGUGCCAGCAGCCGCGGUAAUACGGAGGAUCCGAGCGUUAUCCGGAUUUAUUGGGUUUAAAGGGUGCGCAGGCGGCUUUUUAAGUCAGUGGUUAAAUCGUGAGGCUCAACCUCAUCACGCCAUUGAUACUGGAGAGCUUGAUUGCGGUUGAGGUUGGCGGAAUUCGCCGUGUAGCGGUGAAAUGCAUAGAUAUGGCGAAGAACUCCGAUUGCGUAGGCAGCUGACCAAGCCGUAAAUGACGCUCAUGCACGAAAGUGCGGGGAUCGAACAGGAUUAGAUACCCUGGUA